This 326-nucleotide ribosomal RNA is filed under the name uncultured eukaryote. RNAcentral describes it as "partial 18S ribosomal RNA". It matches the Rfam family "Eukaryotic small subunit ribosomal RNA", at positions 1470 to 1796 of the family's 1831-position model. The record is from RNAcentral.
CCCUUAGAUGUUCUGGGCCGCACGCGCGCUACAAUGAUGCAGCCAACGAGUGCUGCUCCUUAGCCGAAAGGCUUGGGGAACCUUGAAAACUGCAUCGUGCUAGGGAUAGAUGAUUGCAAUCGUGCAUCUUGAACGAGGAAUGCCUUGUAAGCGUGAGUCAUCAACUCGCGCUGAAUACGUCCCUGCCCUUUGUACACACCGUUCGUUGUUUUUACCGAUUGGAUGGUCCGGUGAAUUGAUCGGACUGAUGAAUAUUUUCGCGGGUGCGAAAUUAUCACAGAAAGUUCAAUAAGUUUUAUUAUUUAGAGGAAGGAGAAGUCGUAACA